This 450-nucleotide ribosomal RNA is filed under the name uncultured bacterium. Its description in RNAcentral is "partial 16S ribosomal RNA". It matches the Rfam family "Bacterial small subunit ribosomal RNA", at positions 354 to 796 of the family's 1533-position model. The record is from RNAcentral.
GUGAGGAAUAUUGCGCAAUGGGCGAAAGCCUGACGCAGCGACGCCGCGUGGAGGAUGAAGGUCUUCGGAUUGUAAACUUCUGUUAAGUGGGAAGAAAGGGCUGCUUUUAAUAGAAGCAGUUAAUGACGGUACCAUUAAAGAAAGCACCGGCUAAACUCGUGCCAGCAGCCGCGGUAAUACGAGUGGUGCAAGCGUUAUUCGGAAUAAUUGGGCGUACAGGGUGUGUAGGCGGUAUGUUAAGUCUGUUGUUAAAGACUCCGGCCUAACCGGAGACAGGCAGCGGAAACUGGCGUACUAGAGGGUGGAAGAGAGAAGUGGAAUUCUCGGUGUAGCGGUAAAAUGCGUAGAUAUCGAGAGGAACACCGAUGGCGAAGGCAGCUUCUUGGUCCAUACCUGACGCUGAAACACGAAAGCGUGGGGAGCAAACAGGAUUAGAUACCCCGGUAGUCC